RNAcentral lists this signal recognition particle RNA (244 nucleotides) under human gut metagenome. RNAcentral describes it as "Bacterial large signal recognition particle RNA". It matches the Rfam family "Bacterial large signal recognition particle RNA". From Rfam's summary of the family: The signal recognition particle (SRP) is a universally conserved ribonucleoprotein involved in the co-translational targeting of proteins to membranes. Archaeal SRP consists of a 7S RNA and homologues of the eukaryotic SRP19 and SRP54 proteins. The record is from RNAcentral.
UGCAGCCGGGGAGUUAGCGGUGCCCUGUACCUACAAUCCGCUCUAGUAGGGGUGAUGUCCGGUCCCGGGUCUUUUCUUGUAGAGCAGCCCUUUAUAAGUGAUGUUGAUGUCUGGGUCUUACGCAAUGGGAAUUUAUGAACCGUGUCAGGUCAGGAAUGGAGCAGCACUAAGUAAAACCUUCCAUGUGCCGUGAGGAAGCCUGGAUUGAGUUAACUGUAGAGGUAACGUCUGUGAGGGAGAUUCA